Non-coding RNA from Dothideomycetidae sp. 11243, 93 nucleotides. The record is from the annotation of a GenBank genome assembly. Lineage: Eukaryota; Fungi; Ascomycota; Dothideomycetes.
UCCGAUGUGGUGUAGUGGCUAGCAUCCGUCGCUCUCAAAGUUUCUACUGAAACCAGGACCGACGAGACCGGGGUUCAAUUCCCCGCAUCGGAA